This is a long non-coding RNA of Carassius carassius (crucian carp), 677 nucleotides long. RefSeq lists it as uncharacterized. The transcript has 4 exons. NCBI's taxonomy places the organism in Eukaryota, Metazoa, Chordata, Actinopteri, Cypriniformes, Cyprinidae. The record is from RefSeq and is a predicted model, not a curated record.
UUUUGAAUUCCAACGGUCGAGAAGAGAUUGAUCCCCGUCUGCUGAUUUAAAUUGGUGUUCUGACAGAAAUAUUGUUGUGCGGAUUUACACUAAAACACGAAAGAGCCUGAACCGCAACAGUGUCACAAGUUGCUUUACAUCACAAACAAAAAGAUGCAAGACUGCAAACUUUCCAGUACUCCUGUGUACUGAUAAUCCGGUUUCCACCCAGUCCCAGGAGAUUAUAUUAAACCUGGAAAAUAUUGGAGAAGAUGAAUUAAGUUUUCAGGAGCAGAUUACUGUGAUAAAUGCUGAACUAUGUAAAAGACAACCUGACUACACCAACAUAUCAAAAAUCUAAUGAGGUGCGCUCUUUUUAAAAGAGUUGAUUUAAUGACAAAAUCAACAUGAGAGGUCAUGGACAUGUUCCCAUUUCUUCGGGUUCCACAACUUCUGAGUAUUUGUUUUUAGUGUUGUUUCCUUUGAGUUUAGUAUUUCCACUGCAUUUUCAAUUUUUUUUUGUAUGAAUAAAAAGUCAAAAUUGUUUUAAUGAAUUUUUCUUUCUUUCUUUCUUCUUUUUUUGGUAGCUGCUCCAUGAAGUGAAGAUGCAGUUUGGGAAGGACCUUCAUCUUAAUCUAGAGACUAGACUUCAAGUUCUGAACAGUUUAAAUUAAAUCAAAUUAAAUUUAUGCAUUUAG